RNAcentral lists this ribosomal RNA (503 nucleotides) under uncultured bacterium. RNAcentral's name for it is "partial 16S ribosomal RNA". It matches the Rfam family "Bacterial small subunit ribosomal RNA", at positions 30 to 523 of the family's 1533-position model. The record is from RNAcentral.
AUUGAACGCUGGCGGCAGGCUUAACACAUGCAAGUCGAGCGGAGUGAUGGUGCUUGCACUAUCACUUAGCGGCGGACGGGUGAGUAAUGCUUAGGAAUCUGCCUAUUAGUGGGGGACAACAUCUCGAAAGGGAUGCUAAUACCGCAUACGUCCUACGGGAGAAAGCAGGGGAUCACUUGUGACCUUGCGCUAAUAGAUGAGCCUAAGUCGGAUUAGCUAGUUGGUGGGGUAAAGGCCUACUAAGGCGACGAUCGGUAGCGGGUCUGAGAGGAUGAUCCGCCACACUGGGACUGAGACACGGCCCAGACUCCUACGGGAGGCAGCAGUGGGGAAUAUUGGACAAUGGGGGGAACCCUGAUCCAGCCAUGCCGCGUGUGUGAAGAAGGCCUUAUGGUUGUAAAGCACUUUAAGCGAGGAGGAGGCUCUUUUGGUUAAUACCCAAGAUGAGUGGACGUUACUCGCAGAAUAAGCACCGGCUAACUCUGUGCCAGCCGCCGCGGUAA